UACGGGGGGAGCAAGCGUUGUUCGGAUUUACUGGGCGUAAAGGGCGCGUAGGCGGCCACUGCAAGUCAGUUGUGAAAUCUCCGGGCUUAACCCGGAAAGGUCAGCCGAUACUGCGGGGCUAGAGUGCAGAAGGGGCAACUGGAAUUCUCGGUGUAGCGGUGAAAUGCGUAGAUAUCGAGAGGAACACCUGCGGCGAAGGCGGGUUGCUGGGCUGACACUGACGCUGAUGCGCGAAAGCUAGGGGAGCGAACGGG
RNAcentral lists this ribosomal RNA (254 nucleotides) under uncultured bacterium. Its description in RNAcentral is "partial 16S ribosomal RNA". It matches the Rfam family "Bacterial small subunit ribosomal RNA", at positions 524 to 776 of the family's 1533-position model. The record is from RNAcentral.